UGAAGAUGAAGAUGUAGAUGAUGACGUCCGCGAAAGAAAUGGCUGAUCUUUACCAUAAGGAUCAGCAGGCACAGCAUUGCCAUAGUUCCCACCUGGAAACAUAAACUGUGGGUAUUGAAGACUACUUGAGUAUGCUUCUUGUUGUGUUUGUGGAGGACGAGGAGGAGCAAUAACUCGAUUACUCAUUUGUUCAGUGCCAUGCAAACCUCGGCGAUUAGUCAAAAAACCUAAUUCGCUUGUGCCUUGAACUCUUUCAGGGAAGUUAAGUUUAGCUUUACUUCCUUUAAACCUAAGAGCAGCUUCGUCGUAGGCAAGUGCUGCAGCUUCGGCGUUAUCAAAAGUACCGAGCCAUACUCGAGCUGCCUUCUUUGGAUCCCGGAUCUCGGCAGCCCAUUUGCCCCAUGGUCGCUGCCUCACUCCUCUAUAGUGUCUUCUCCUCGUGUUCCCUUGAUCUUGAACUGGCUGCUGCGGUUGAUCAUGCCCUUGUGUGGUUGAUUGCUGUGUUGUUAAUGGAUUUUCAUGAACUUGAAGAGGAUUAUUGUGGGUAUUUCCAAUAACUUGAGAUAGGACUGCAACCAUUGCAUUCAUGUCUUGUUGAGAUCGAGCUGAGUAGAUUGGGAAGAUGUGAUCUUCCUCUUUCUCCUCCGGUUCAUCGAAUGGAAGGGGCCUCUUCCCAUGAUGUGGAUCCACUUUGGUAUUUAGAGCAUGCAAGCAAGAAAUGAGAGUAAUUUCUCUGGCUAGAAAAUUUCCCCUCCUUGCUUUAAUUACGAGUGUAUAUGUACCAUAUCAAGACAAAGAGGCGUGGGUUAAUCAUCAGCAUCAAGAUCAAGACGAG
This 835-nucleotide unclassified non-coding RNA is filed under the name Hevea brasiliensis (rubber tree). The record is from RNAcentral. Lineage: Eukaryota; Viridiplantae; Streptophyta; Magnoliopsida; Malpighiales; Euphorbiaceae.